GUAGGUGACAAGCGUUGUCCGGAUUUACUGGGCGUAAAGAGCGCGCAGGCGGUCGAUCAAGUCGAGUGUGAAAGCCCCCGGCUCAACUGGGGAGGGUCAUUCGAUACUGAUCGACUCGAAGGCAGGAGAGGGAAGUGGAAUUCCCGGUGUAGUGGUGAAAUGCGUAGAUAUCGGGAGGAACACCAGUGGCGAAGGCGACUUCCUGGCCUGUUCUUGACGCUGAGGCGCGAAAGCUAGGGGAGCAAACGGGAUUAGAUACCCCGGUAGUCCUGGCCGUAAACGAUGGACACUAGGUGUUGGUGGUAUCAACCCCGCCAGUGCCGAAGCUAACGCAUUAAGUGUCCCGCCUGGGGAGUACGGCCGCAAGGCUA
RNAcentral lists this ribosomal RNA (371 nucleotides) under uncultured bacterium. RNAcentral describes it as "bacterial SSU rRNA". It matches the Rfam family "Bacterial small subunit ribosomal RNA", at positions 527 to 896 of the family's 1533-position model. The record is from RNAcentral.